GCCCCUGUGGUGCAAACGGUUAAGCCCUCAACUCCUAGCUGAAAGGUUGGUGGUUCAAACCCACUCAGGAGCA
Molecule: transfer RNA, 73 nt
Filed under: Loxodonta africana (African savanna elephant)
Lineage: Eukaryota; Metazoa; Chordata; Mammalia; Proboscidea; Elephantidae
Rfam family: tRNA
About the family: Transfer RNA (tRNA) molecules are approximately 80 nucleotides in length. Their secondary structure includes four short double-helical elements and three loops (D, anti-codon, and T loops).
Source: Rfam by way of RNAcentral